GGAGGCGGGCUCCAGAAGAGCAGCUUGCGUCUGUGUCCUCCCGCGUGUCUAGUCGGAAUCCUGUAAUUACCAGGCUUUCUUUCUCAUAGUAACCCUUAAAGGGGGCUUCCAACAUUCUUUCUGAGUCCGCGCUGCGCCAUACAGUGUUCUUCUGUUGACUGCCACCCCCCCAGCCGCACUGUCCUGUCUCCACUGGACACGCCCUCAUUUACAUUUAAGUUAAUUAAAAUUCGGGGCCUCAGCUUUCACUGAGCCAAGAGACACACGCAGAUGUAGGGUUAGGGAGCUCUGAGAAUUGCUCGCGUUCACUCUAAUUACUUUUAAUUACAGGUAAGGCCCAUGCGUUUUCCAGAGCGUAAGAAGAUACAGCGGCCAGAGGACCCCACCCCCUCAUCCCUGCGUGCUCCCCCUGAGGGCACAGGGAAGGCAGGAAACAAACGCCUUGUUCGGAACCAAGCAUGAACCCGUGAUCAGUCUUCAGUAGGAAGAUCACUGAAGACCAUUUCCCAAAUUGGAGGUUUUCAAACAGACUUCAUUUCAGUGAUGUUAUAAUUGGGAGAGUGGCAGUUUCACUCUGUCUUCAAUAAUUUAGAGUGUACUUAAACCAGUGACGGAAAAAAAAAAUUUUUUUUUAAGAUGAUGCUACUGAGGGGCACCUGGGUGGCUCAACCGGUUGAGCGUCUGACUUCGGUUGAGGUCAUGAUCUCAUGUGUGGUGAAUUCAACCUCCGCGUCGGGCUCUGUGCUGACAGCUCAGAGCCUGGAGCCUGCUUCAGAUUCUGUCUCCCUCUCUUUCUGCCCCUCCCCCGCCCCUGCAUGCGAGAGCGAACUCUCUCUC
Long non-coding RNA from Neofelis nebulosa (Clouded leopard), 837 nucleotides. RefSeq lists it as uncharacterized. The transcript is spliced from 2 exons. NCBI's taxonomy places the organism in Eukaryota, Metazoa, Chordata, Mammalia, Carnivora, Felidae. The record is from RefSeq and is a predicted model, not a curated record.